This 348-nucleotide unclassified non-coding RNA is filed under the name soil metagenome. Its description in RNAcentral is "partial contains 5.8S ribosomal RNA, internal transcribed spacer 2, and large subunit ribosomal RNA". The stretch from base 1 to 120 matches the Rfam family "5.8S ribosomal RNA", at positions 35 to 154 of the family's 154-position model. The record is from RNAcentral.
GAUGAAGAACGUAGCAAAAUGCGAUAAGUAAUGUGAAUUGCAGAAUUCAGUGAAUUAUCGAAUCUUUGAACGCACAUUGCGCCCGCUGGUAUUCCGGCGGGCAUGCCUGUUCGAGCGUCAUUUCAACCCUCAAGCCCCCGGGUUUGGUGUUGGGGAUCGGCUCUGCCCUUCUGGGCGGUGCCGCCCCCGAAAUACAUUGGCGGUCUCGCUGCAGCCUCCAUUGCGUAGUAGCUAACACCUCGCAACUGGAACGCGGCGCGGCCAUGCCGUAAAACCCCAACUUCUGAAUGUUGACCUCGGAUCAGGUAGGAAUACCCGCUGAACUUAAGCAUAUCAAUAAGCGGAGGA